RNAcentral lists this ribosomal RNA (303 nucleotides) under uncultured bacterium. RNAcentral's name for it is "partial 16S ribosomal RNA". It matches the Rfam family "Bacterial small subunit ribosomal RNA", at positions 507 to 807 of the family's 1533-position model. The record is from RNAcentral.
AGCAGCCGCCGCGGUAAUACGAAGGGGGCUAGCGUUGUUCGGAAUUACUGGGCGUAAAGCGCACGUAGGCGGAUAUUUAAGUCAGGGGUGAAAUCCCAGAGCUCAACUCUGGAACUGCCUUUGAUACUGGGUAUCUUGAGUAUGGAAGAGGUAAGUGGAAUUGCGAGUGUAGAGGUGAAAUUCGUAGAUAUUCGCAGGAACACCAGAGGCGAAGGCGGCUUACUGGUCCAUUACUGACGCUGAGGUGCGAAAGCGUGGGGAGCAAACAGGAUUAGAUACCCCCGUAGUCCCUGUCUCUUAUAC